CGGGACUACAUGUGAGAUAUCAGGGAACAUAAUGAGGUUUUGUGUCAACUUAAUGCCGGUUUUAACCUUGGCUAAGGAGACUGAGCAGGAGGAGGAAGACGAGAAAGAAGAAAGCAACACCUCCAUGAGUCGACAGGAAACAGAAACCAGCAGCAGAGACCCAUCUGUCAGCAAACUAGUGGAACAGAAACAAAACGCAAUUGACCUCCAGUCAGGAUUAACCUCAGAGAGAACAACCAAACCAAGACUCUCACUGACUUCUCCAUUUCUGCCGCCGCCUAUAAGCGAACCAAAACCAUUUGAUCAGAGCUCAGGCUGUCUCACUCCUCUGCCUGCCAUCACUGUGCAUCAACAAGCAACAACCAGCUCUGCAAAGCUUGGAGCAGAAGGCUUUGGAGUCAGUGGAGCAGUUACAGUGCAGGCUUCAGACAUCAGGCCCUGGAUAGACAAUCCCCUGUUCUCCAAGAGUAGAUCAGCUGAGGUUCAGCUUCCUGACAUCACCUUGUCCAGCCUGAAUGCACUGCUGCAAACUGUCACAUACAGACUGAGGAAGAAGAGGAGAGGGGCCAAGGAAGGACUAUGGAGACAAGACCGGUCUGAUCAGCUCCUCGUGGCCUUUACAGAUCAGUGUCGGGCAGCAGGAUGGGAAGCGGGGCAGCGUAUGAGCUGGAAAAGACAGAUCACCUGGUGCCUGCGGGGUAAACAGACAGAUGAGCCUCCCUCCACUUCAUCCUGCACCCAAAGCGCCGCUCAUCUUCCUCAGGAUGAUGCAGCCAAACCACCUGACUGCUCAGAUGCCGCAGUGACUGAACAGCCACACAUAACUUGCAGUGUUUGAAAAUUGUGCUGCAGGUCAAAUAUUUUUAAUUUUU
This is a long non-coding RNA of Oreochromis aureus, 872 nucleotides long. NCBI's taxonomy places the organism in Eukaryota, Metazoa, Chordata, Actinopteri, Cichliformes, Cichlidae. The record is from Ensembl.